Molecule: long non-coding RNA, 5608 nt
Filed under: Sus scrofa (pig)
Lineage: Eukaryota; Metazoa; Chordata; Mammalia; Artiodactyla; Suidae
Description: lncRNA (ENSSSCG00055009864.1)
Source: RNAcentral
CGUCUGGUUAAAGAGCAUGUGAGGGUGGGCAAGGGCCUGUGCCUGGGAGGGUGCACCAGCCCCCCAGACCGGGGCCAGAGAGCAGAUGGGGGUGCUCGGGAGCCAUGGGUCCUGAUUAUUGCUGAGUUACCACGUGAUCAAGCCAUUGUCCACGGAGCUGGACCCCGUGCCUGACUUGACACUGGUUUCUGGGUUUGCAGCCUCCAGGAAGGUGGAGGUUGGAGAAGAUGCUGGAAUCACCCAGCUGCUCCCUCUCCAGGGGUCCCUAGUGUGUGUGCUACUGCCCCGACCCCCCUGGGAGUCCCAGGCCCCCGCCCAGGGAUCCUAAGCCUUAAAUGGGUGGGAACCCUAGAACCUGCACUGCAAGGAUACCCUGUCUCUGCCCAGGCCUGGGCAGGAGACUGGCUUUGGCCUGGGGAUAGGAGAUACUGGGUGAGUCCCUCCCUUCCUCUGAGGCUCCCUGGCCCUCUGUGAGAGGGGUUACUGCUUUCUGCUUCCAUGGCUGCUUCUACCAAAAGUUCUGUGGGAUGCUGCCGAGGAACGUGCCAUGGCCUGUGUUUGGCACACAGUAGGCACUUGUCAAUGUGACCAUCCUGGCAACUCCAGCACCAGCAAGUACUAAGCAACACAACAGUCAUGAGAGCUGACCUGCUGCAUGCUUCUCAUGCUAAGUGUUGCCUUCCGCACAAUUUGGGGACCUGGGCACCUUUUUGGCCCCUUUUACAGAAGAGACCAGUGAGGUUUAGAGAGCAGGCUUGCAGGGGAAGUGGACGGACUGGGCCGCAAACUCAGGCCUCUUUGUCUGGCCUGGCCCACGUGCCUUCUCCCAUUAGGUGGAGAAACAGUGGCCCUGGAGCUGUCUGUGGCAGUGCGGUUACUAUAGCAGCCACCUCAGCCCCCGAGAGGGGAAGUGGAAAAUAGGCCAGAGCAGUAAUGAGGCUGCACGGUUCUGAUCUGUCCCCUGAUGGGAUCAGGCUUCACAAGCCUUCUUCCCACAUCAGAGGCAGCCCAGUGUCUGGGCCGUGGAUCAAAGGCCAGUCGUCUCUGCGCCCAGACACUGCGCCUGGCUCAGGCCUCAGAAGGUCCCCCCUUGAUCCUCCCACAGUGAGUCAUGCUGUUGCUGGCACCAGCCUCUGCCUGUUCCCUAAGGAUGUCACUUGCUGCCUGGAUCGGCAGUGAGCAGCGGUCCUGAGAAGGGCUCGUGCCCCAAACAGCUUGCACGGGGCUGCCCGAGACCCCACCUUGGGACCCAUAUGGCUUCCUUUCAAGGGGCAGCUCAUGGAGGGCAAGGGGCUUUUCAUGCUGGCAAACCCAGGUUUGACUCUGUGGUCCAUGUGGGGCUCUGGUCCUCUGACUCCCUUCCUCCGAUGGUCAACGUCCUUGUCUCAGUGCUGUGCAAAGAGGUGAUGCCUGCAAUGGCUCAGAAUGCAGCAGAGCAGACACAAGUCCUGCCUCCCCAUCAUGCUGUGGGACCUUGACCACACAUUCAACCUCUCUGAGCCUGUUUCCUCAUCCUCUUGUGACGAUGAAACAAGGUGACAAGUUUGCUCAAACCUUGUCUUCUCAGGCGGCUUCUCUAGCAACUGAACCCCACCCCUGCUCUCCCACCAAAAUCUAUAUAAUUUAUUUAUGCAGUAGGGUUACUGUUCCUUGUCCAACUGCCCCCCUGGAAUGUCAGCCCCUCUGGCGUGAGAGCAGGGAUCUUCCAUUUGUUUUCUAACGUAUCCCAAGUAAUAGAACAGCGCCGGGCAUGCAGUGGACGGAAGCUUGUUGAGUGAUUAUGUGUGGUCCCUAGAGCAGGACGGCUGCAUCAGUGACCACCCCCGUUUUCUCUCUGGCUCCCUCUCCUUUCCUGGCACAACCCCAGGCUUCUGCUGUGACCUCACCCCAUGCAUUCACAUCCCCCUCUGGUCCUGGAGCCCCUGGGCCUCAGCUUGGGAAAGGCGGGGACACCUGAGCCAACAGCCUGGGUCUGUGUGGUCCAUGGAAGCCUCUGCCCACGCCCCCAUGUGAGGUCGGGCCUCCUCUGCCAGCUCUGGGGAAAUUUCCAGAAGGGCUCCUGAGACGCAAGGAGGGGAGCAGCUUGUCCCAAUCUUCAUAGCUAAGACCACAGGGUUCUGGGCUCGGGGUUCCCUCUCUGCCGAAGACCCCUGGGGGCCACAUCUGCCCAGUGAGGUUGUGACGGGUGGGUAUGAGCUGCCCUGGGAUGCCCUAGAAGACCACAGACCCGGCCUCCUCCAGAAUUCCGGCCUCUCCCUGCCUGUCUCCUGUCUCCCUCCCCGGAAUCCAGUUCCUUCCAGAGAAACCAAAGUGAACCCACUGAGAGCGCCCAGAAUAAACAGUGACUAUAGGAGGAGACCCACCCCCGUGGAGCAGGGAGGAGGAUCGGGAAACACAGACAGAACCGAAGUGCAAGUGGGCUCCCGGCUUCCUGUCCUCAAGAUGCUUAUGUGAAGGAGAUGCACCAGAAAAUUCCACUCAGCAAAGGCUGCUCCUCGUAAUUAACGCUGCAGGGAAACAAGGACAGAACAGCAAAGGGCUCAUCCGGGGCAGGUCCACCGACGUGGGGUCACGUGGGCUAUGUCCCUGGGGCUUCAGGACCCGUGUCACCCCCUCAGCAUGCAGAGACCUGGGCGGGGGGACCAGGUGGGGGGGGUGUGGAGGCGGGGGCUCCUGGGGACCCUGCAUGUUAGUGCCCAGAAGCUCCUGGUGUCUUCCCCCUGCAGACACGGGGGAAGGGCAAGUCCCUUCCUUCUCUCCGAGCAGAGGAGUUUCAGAUCUGUCAGCCCCUUCAUGGCAUCUGCAACGCACGGGAUCUUGGAAUUAGAGCAUCUUUCACAGACUCACAGACGCUUUCACACAGUCUUUGAAUCACAGAACCUGAGAAUCCUAGAAUUCUAGAAUCAUAGGACCAUUCAAGGACUUACGGGCCUGAGAGUCGUAGAAUUAAGGAAUCUCUGGAGAAGACCUGGAGCCUCACCCACAGCUUAUUGGACCCUUGGAAUCGCAGCAUCAACUCUGAUAAACCUGGCAUUGAAACAGUCACCCUGAAGUCAGAACCGUAGCACAGGAAUCGACCUUUGUCCAGAGCCCACCUCCCACCCCCCCGGUUCAUGCAGAAGCCUUCUCUUCACUGUCCUAUAAUAACUUGAAUUCUUGCAGGGACGGGGAGCUUACCACCUGGCAGGGGAACCUGACUACUGGGCCCAUCAGGCUGCUGCUGCUGAGCCUAAAUUUGCUUCCAUGUGACCCACCCACUCCUCUGUCCACAUUUUGUGCCUUCCACCCCCCUCAACAUCCUGCCCCCACAAAGAGCUAAAUGUGAAAACUAGUGGACGGGAAACCAUUGAAGAAGCAAUUUGUCCUGGAAAAAACACAGUCCAGUUUGACCUUCAGGCUGUAGAGGUCAGUCUUCCUCCACAGCCAGCCUGGCACCAGCCGUGGGACGCUCAGCCCACAUCCAUUCACCAAGGGUUGAAAGGUGAUGAGAACAAUCGAGAUGUAGGGAGGGGUGGGGAGGCUGAGCAUGCCCUUUGAGGGGGUGGAUGAAGGGAUGCUGCCUUCUUGCACUGGAAAGGAUGCCCCGAGCCAGUGGACAAGGCUGGUCUGUGAGUCAGCCGACCUAGUCAGAGUUAUCCCAACUCUGCUACUGACUGCUAGGCUACUUUGAAUAAGUUAGGGUCUCAGAGCCUCAGUUUCUCCAUUUGUAAACUGGGCUAAUGAAGCCCACUCUUAAUCCGUGCCCAGGCUGCAGUGGACUCACUGAGGAUGCUCACUUCUUAUGUGGUCCUUGGCUCAUGGCAAGAGGGCACUCAGGUUACCUCCUUUCCCGCCUUCCAGCCUUGCCUGGGUCUUGGGGGCUGAGCAGGAUUUCUCCAGAGGAAGAAGAUGUGGAAAAGCAUUUCCAGGUGAAGGAACAGCAUGGGCAAAGCCUGGGGUCCACCAGCAUGUCAGGAGUACUUGGGGAGCAGCAUGUGUUUUAGGGGAGUCGGGAUGUGGGGGUGAAGAAGCAGUAUGGCCUGGGGGCAGUGGGGCCCUGGGUACCACUGUCCUAGAGGGCAGAGUGAGGGUGCCUGGAGCCUCGGCAGGAGCAGGUGCUUCCUGUGAAGUAGCCCCACCUCCUUUUGUCCUCAGCCUGGGGACAGAGUGCACUCGCCUGGCCUCCUGGGAUCCCAACACAAGGCAGGGCCAGGAAAGCCAAACAAAUUAAAACAUGUCAGAAACAAUCAUCAGAAGAGACAAGAGCUACUAGUUCCCAGGCUAGGGGUUGAAUCGGAGCUGUAGCCACCGGCCUACGCCAGAGCCAUAGCAAUGCGGGAUCCGAGCCGCGUCUGCAACCUACACCACAGCUCACGGCAACGCUGGAUCGUUAACCCACUGAGCAAGGGCAGGGACCGAACCCGCAAUCUCAUGGUUCCUAGUCGGAUUCGUUAACCACUGCACCACGACGGGAACUCCAAGACCCAGAUUUUAUUAAGUUUAUAAAGGAGGCCAAGUCUCCUGGAGCCUGGUGGCCCACGACAGAUUUGGGGAAGCUGCCAGAGGCGUGCUGUGGGGGCUGAGUGUCUGGGCUGGGAUUCAGUUCUGCCCCCAUGAGCUGUGUGACAUGGGGCAAGUUACCUAACCUCUCUGGGCUUUGCAUCCCACCUACAUGAGGCCAGGUUGUGUUGGCACCCCCAGGCAGCAGCACAGACCAAAGGAGACCCCACGGGAAGACCUCUGCUUCCUCACAUCCCAAGGCUUCCCUCUGUCAGAUCUCAGGGGUCCAAUCUUUUGCCCUCCUCCCCUCUGUGAUCCAGGCAGGAUCCAUCCGUCAAGCCUGGAUUUACUGUCCCAUCCGGUCACGGUCACGUGCUCCACCUGGUGCGUCCAAGCUGGCUCAACCCCGUCCAGUCCUUCCCCAGCCCCGGACCCUGCGUGUGACUCCGGCCUCCGCUCUGAACAGUCAGGGUCCCUCCCGCCCCUGUGACGGGCCCAGCAGUUUAAGGAGCUCAGGUGUGACUUCAUUUGGGUCUUGUCCCCAGGUUCCCUGCCCGCCUCCCCCCUCUGAUCACACAGGGACAGCGCAUUACUGGGCGGACCCUGGAGGGCAGGUCAGAGCAGCCCAUGGCAGGGGGUGCCUGCUGCCUCUGUGGGUUUCUGGGUGCCCUGGGCCAGACCACCUGCCCUCGCUCUCCCCCAGGAAUCCUUCACCUCCGGGAGGGUGUCUGAGCCUCCACGCGAUCUGGACAGGGGGAGGGUUCUGUCUCUAGAGCAUCUGCAGAGGACAGAGGCUGCCGUCCAUCCUCUUGCUGCACAGACAGUAAAGGUACAGAAAUACAGAGGAUAAAGGUAAACAUGGAGGAGUUCCCGCUGUGGCUCAAUGGAAACAAACUAGUAUCCCAGCUAGUAUCCAUGAGGAUGCCGGUUCAAUCCCUGCCUUGCUCAGCAGGUUAAGGAUCUUGCAUUGCUGUGAGCUGUGGUGUAGGUCACAGACACGGCUCAGAUCCUGUGUUGCUGUGGCUCCAGCUCCAAUUCAACCCCUAGCCUGGAAAUUUCCAUAUGCUGCAGGUGCAGCCCUGAAAAGCAGAAAUAAAUAAAUAAAUAAAUAGCUCCAAAUUGGAUGCAA